Molecule: small RNA, 932 nt
Filed under: Spiroplasma culicicola
Lineage: Bacteria; Bacillati; Mycoplasmatota; Mollicutes; Entomoplasmatales; Spiroplasmataceae
Description: bacterial LSU rRNA
Rfam family: Bacterial large subunit ribosomal RNA (bases 437-932)
Source: RNAcentral
CGCCCGUCACACCAUGAGAGUUGGUAAUACCAGAAGCAUGUAUCUUAACCGCAAGGAGAGAGCGUACCAAGGUAGGACUAGCGAUUAGGGUGAAGUCGUAACAAGGUAUCCGUACGGGAACGUGCGGAUGGAUCACCUCCUUUCUAUGGAGUUAACAUAGAUUAGAGAAAGCUGAGCGAAUCGAUAAAACAGCUUUUGAUUAUAUUUGGUUCUAUCUAGUUUUCAGAGAUUAUUUCGGGCCUUUGGGCCCUGAUAAUUUCUGAACAAGAAAAAUCGUUCUUUGAAAACUGAAUAUUAGAUGAAAAUAGACAUUUUAUUUUUCUUACGUUUCAUAAUUUAUUAUUUAAACGUAUUUAGUAACUUUAAAAUUUACUAAGAAAAACUAAAAUUUCAAUAUAUUUAUAGAUUAUCUAUAUAUCAAUAGGAUUUCUUUUUAAGAAAGUAUAGUAAGGGCAUAUGGUGAAUGCCUUGGAAAAUGGAGCCGAUGAAGGACGUGACUACCUGCGAAAAGUUUCGGGGAGCUGGAAGUGAGCUUUGAUCCGGAAAUGUCCGAAUGGGGAAACCUACUAUGAUUAAUCUCAUAGUGUCCACAACUGAAUACAUAGGUUGUGUGAUGGGAACCUAGGGAACUGAAACAUCUUAGUACCUAGAGGAAAAGAAAACGAAUGUGAUUCUGUGAGUAGCGGCGAGCGAAAGCGGAACAGGCCAAACCUGUCUACGGGCAGGGGUUGUAGGACUCUUGUUAGAGUUACAAAGUUAGUGUAUAGCAGAAGCUGUUGGGAAGCAGCGGCGUAGAGGGUGAUACCCCCGUAUGCGAAAUGCACUAACCUCGAGAGAGUAUCCUGAGUACGGCGGGGCACGUGAAACCCUGUCGGAAUCCACCCAGACCACUGGGUAAGCCUAAAUACUACCAUUUUACCGAUAGUGAACCA